This 701-nucleotide small RNA is filed under the name Pongo abelii (Sumatran orangutan). RNAcentral describes it as "retained intron". The record is from RNAcentral. Lineage: Eukaryota; Metazoa; Chordata; Mammalia; Primates; Hominidae.
CAAUUCCAACAUAUAAGAAGUUCCUACGGAAGCACUGGUGUGGUAGUAUCAGUGCUCUCUUUUGAGCACAGGCCUGUAAUCAGCCUUGAUGUUUUUCACUUGAAGACAUUUUGAACUUUUUCUUAUAGGGUUUCUCUGCUGGGCUGUUUGCAUUCUACCAUGAUAAAGAUGGAAAUCCUCUCACUUCAAGAUUUGCAGAUGGCCUCCCACCUUUUAAUUAUAGUCUGGGAUUAUAUCAAUGGAGUGAUAAAGUAGUUCGAAAAGUGGAGAGAUUAUGGGAUGUUCGAGAUAAUAAGAUAGUUCGUCACACUGUGUAUCUCCUGGUAACGCCUCGUGUUGUUGAGGAAGCACGAAAACAUUUUGAUUGUCCAGUUCUAGAGGGAAUGGAACUUGAAAAUCAAGGUGGUAUGGGCACUGAGCUCAACCAUUGGGAAAAAAGGUUAUUAGAGGUCAGUUUGUUUUUAAAUUUUCCUAGGCUUUAAUGAAAAUAAUUCAUAAUUAUGGUAAAAGUUAUUCAAGCAGGUUAUAAACUGAAAAAUAUUUAUGUCCCUUUACCCCUUCAGCUCUCCAGAUGCACUUUCCAGAUACAAUCACUCCUUAUGUUUUUUGUAUAUACUUUCAUAAAUGUUACAUAUGUAUGUGUGCAAACACAUGCAGAAUUGUCUAUUUUUUCAUGGGUUCACAUAUUUAUGCAACUUUUU